This 332-nucleotide ribosomal RNA is filed under the name uncultured bacterium. RNAcentral's name for it is "bacterial SSU rRNA". It matches the Rfam family "Bacterial small subunit ribosomal RNA", at positions 568 to 898 of the family's 1533-position model. The record is from RNAcentral.
CGCGUAGGCGGUUUCUUAAGUGAGAUGUGCAAUCCCCGAGCUUAACUUGGGAACUGCAUCUCAGACUGGGAGGCUGGAGUGCUGGAGAGGGUGGUAGAAUUCCACGUGUAGCGGUGAAAUGCGUAGAGAUGUGGAGGAAUACCAGUGGCGAAGGCGGCCACCUGGACAGUAACUGACGCUGAGGCGCGAAAGUGUGGGUAGCAAACAGGAUUAGAUACCCUGGUAGUCCACGCUGUAAACGAUGAACACUUGGUGUGGUGGGAGUUGACCCCUGCCGUGCCGUAGCUAACGCGAUAAGUGUUCCGCCUGGGGAGUACGGUCGCAAGGCUGAA